This 255-nucleotide long non-coding RNA is filed under the name Mytilus galloprovincialis (Mediterranean mussel). The record is from RNAcentral. Lineage: Eukaryota; Metazoa; Mollusca; Bivalvia; Mytilida; Mytilidae.
UGUGGUGCUGUUUCACACAAUGCUGGUUAUCCUUACGUGUGCGAAAGUAUUUAGAUGGGAUGAAUCGAUAAGAGAAAAAAACUUUACAGGUUUUCAGUAAUUUAUACUUAACGUACAAGUAUCGAGGAACAUUCGCAUCUUUUAAGGCAAAAUACACCUGGUUCUACAGAACAACACUCGUUUACAUUGUGUAAGGAAUGUAUUAUCUAGGCACAAAUACACAAAGGGAUUUAAAAUGUUGUUGAGUAGAAAACU